Molecule: long non-coding RNA, 1214 nt
Filed under: Sarcophilus harrisii (Tasmanian devil)
Lineage: Eukaryota; Metazoa; Chordata; Mammalia; Dasyuromorphia; Dasyuridae
Description: lncRNA (ENSSHAG00000026833.1)
Source: RNAcentral
CUAGCUUUACAAGGUAAUUUCCUGGCAGUUUGAUUGGUAUGGCACUAAGUAUUUUAAUUUUAGGCAGAAUUGCCAUUGUUAUUAAAGCAGCUCAGCCUACCCAUGAGCACUUGAUAUUCUUAUUUAGAUCUGAUUUUAUUUAGAUUGUUUUUAUUUUUUGUUUAGAUCUGACUUUAUUACUCCAUUUUCACAGAUCAUUGAUUAGAACGAAGAGAGACUUCUGGGACCAUUUGACGGAGUUUCAGGAAACCGGUUGUUUUGGAGCGAGGAAAUUGGAAAACUGGAGGCCGGCUUCGUUUUAAGAGAAAUCAGGUGAAAUUGUGUGAGAGAGUGAAGUUGGGCAAAUCACCUACAUAAUUUCAUCAGAUCUCAGAGUGAGGGGGACCUCAGAGGCCAUCUAUUUUACAGAUGAGGAAACUGAGGGAGACGAUCUGCUCAAAGUCACUCAGGUAACCAUCAGAAGCAGGAUUUGAAUCCAGUCUGUACCUCCAGAGCUGGGGCUCUUGCCACUGUACCAAGUUGGGUUGGUGAUUAUUGUACCCCAAGUAUGAAAAUGAAGAAACAAAACCAGGAUGGGCCAAACAAGCAUAAGGAGACUUUAGAGCACACACCAGUGAAGAGUUUUAACACAAUUUAUUUUUAUGCUUAAAUAAUUAACUAGAUCAUCCAGUGUGGUUUUUUCAUACAUAUGUCAUUAGAGCUAUUUGUCAAUGAAUGCUGUUUUGAUAUGAAUAUAAUCAACAAAUUAAAGUAUUUCACCAAAACCCAAAUAAAAAUGCCCCUUAAAACACAGCAGCCUUAAGAACCUAAUAUUACAGUGCUAGAAUGGUUACAGAUGAUUGGCUUGCUGAAAGAUUCUACAUCUGAGCGCCAGUACACAAGACGGUAAUAAUUUUACAGCGUGCUGCCAGUCUAAGAGCUAAUAGUUUCUGUUCAAUUCAAUUUUUUUAAAUACCAAAACUUGUGCUUCUAUCGAGCACCAACCCAUCUCUAAAGCUGCAAGCAUUAACUCCCCUUUGUAAGCAGUAACAGUUAGCAUCCCCCCUCCCCCAAAAGCAACUAUGGUAGUCUUUUUUUUUGUUUCUUUUUUUAGAUUGUUUCAUUGAAAAAUUGGCAACAGCAACAAAUAUUAGAUGAAGGGCGUUGUGUUUACAGAUAAAAUCUCCUCUUUUGUGUCGCGGUAUACUGUAGUGUUUUGCAAAAUUGGAAAAGAU